UUCUAUUAAUCUUUCUCUCUUUUCCCUAUUUUUCAUCUAAAUAUAUGUUAAAUCACUAUCAAAUUCCUUAUUAUAAAGGGUUAUAGCCGUGACUUAGUUUGCAAUUUCUGUGCUACCAAAGCAACAAAAUAAAAAAAAUCCGACAAUUUCAGUUCUUGCUGACUUUAUAUUUCUAGGGUUUCGUUGAUUCUCGCAUAUAUUGUUGCAUCGAGGUAAGCUGGAGUCACUACUUUCUACUUAGGGUUUCGUUAUUACAUCGUUCCUGCAUUUUGUCAAACUUUUGGCUCUCUAAACAAC
This 297-nucleotide long non-coding RNA is filed under the name Nicotiana benthamiana. Its description in RNAcentral is "long non-coding RNA (NBEN_LNC001810)". The record is from RNAcentral. Lineage: Eukaryota; Viridiplantae; Streptophyta; Magnoliopsida; Solanales; Solanaceae.